Molecule: small RNA, 247 nt
Filed under: Arabidopsis thaliana (thale cress)
Lineage: Eukaryota; Viridiplantae; Streptophyta; Magnoliopsida; Brassicales; Brassicaceae
Description: ATSL187190
Source: RNAcentral
AGACGAGUCUUUUUGCUCGGUAGACGAGUGUUUUUGCAAGUUUGCGCAAAAAAUAUAACAGAAAAAGCAUAUAUAUGAUUAAGCUGUUCUUGUUAGAUUAUAAUAGAUAACACUUAUCUUAAUUGUUUGGACAUAGAGAUGAUGAUAUCUACGGCAUGGACGAUCUGAAUCUCUGAGAUUGUAAACGUCGUUGUAUGAAAAUCUACAUUUAAGAUGUUGUUCGUUAGAGGAGAUCUCAUCUUUGCGU